GGGCCCGCACAAGCGGUGGAGCAUGUGGUUUAAUUCGACGCAACGCGCAGAACCUUACCAACACUUGACAUGUUCGUCGCGACUUUAAGAGAUUAAAGUUUUCGGUUCGGCCGGACGAAACACAGGUGCUGCAUGGCUGUCGUCAGCUCGUGUCGUGAGAUGUUGGGUUAAGUCCCGCAACGAGCGCAACCCUCACUUUUAGUUGCCAUCAUUUAGUUGGGCACUCUGAAAGAACUGCCAGUGAUAAGCUGGAGGAAGGUGGGGAUGACGUCAAGUCCUCAUGGCCCUUACGUGUUGGGCUACACACGUGCUACAAUGGUAUUUACAACAGGAAGCAAGACGGCGACGUUAAGCAAAUCCUCAAAAAAUACCUCAGUUCGGAUUGCACUCUGCAACUCGAGUGCAUGAAGUUGGAAUUACUAGUAAUCG
RNAcentral lists this ribosomal RNA (429 nucleotides) under uncultured bacterium. RNAcentral's name for it is "bacterial SSU rRNA". It matches the Rfam family "Bacterial small subunit ribosomal RNA", at positions 917 to 1344 of the family's 1533-position model. The record is from RNAcentral.